Molecule: ribosomal RNA, 678 nt
Filed under: uncultured fungus
Lineage: Eukaryota; Fungi
Description: eukaryotic LSU rRNA
Rfam family: 5.8S ribosomal RNA (bases 247-400)
Source: RNAcentral
GCGGAGGAUCAUUAUCAAAAAUAAUUUAUUAUUUUUUGAAAUAUUUUUCCCAAUUUCCCUUGUAUAUCUGCUCCAUGUUGCUUCCACUAGACAGGCAUAUAUAUUAUUAAAAAUUCAAUUUUCAAUAAUAUUUUUGCCCUUUUUAACCCCGUCGAGGGGCCGAAGAAUAGUCGGUGGAUAGCCUUGAUCCAAGAAAACACUUUUAGAUUUAGUCUGAUAAAUAUAGUAUUUUUUCUGAAUAAAAAAAACUUUCAACAACGGAUCUCUAGGCUCUUGCAUCGAUGAAGAACGCAGUGAAAUGUGAUAAGUAAUGUGAAUUGCAGAAUCUCGUGAAUCAUUGAAUCUUUGAACGCACAUUGCGCCUAAUGGUAUUCCAUUGGGCAUACCUGUUUGAGUGUCAGAAUCCUCACAAUUAUCAAACUGUUAAAUAUGUACUAUUUAUUUCUUUUAUCAAUAGACAUAUAUAUAAUGAUGUUUGGACUAUUAUUGAGAAAAGUAGUAUUUAUUAAAAUAUUACUUUCUUAAAAAUCAGGAUAAUUUUUGUUUAGAUUUUGAUCAACUCAUUUUGUAUGCAAUAUAACAAAUGAGUAUGAAUAAAAGCAACAAUACUUUAUUUUGGAUGACCUCAAAUCAGGUAGGGAUACCCGCUGAACUUAAGCAUAUCAAUAAGGCGGAGGA